RNAcentral lists this transfer RNA (71 nucleotides) under Gymnotus sylvius. RNAcentral describes it as "tRNA-Arg". It matches the Rfam family "tRNA". From Rfam's summary of the family: Transfer RNA (tRNA) molecules are approximately 80 nucleotides in length. Their secondary structure includes four short double-helical elements and three loops (D, anti-codon, and T loops). Lineage: Eukaryota; Metazoa; Chordata; Actinopteri; Gymnotiformes; Gymnotidae. The record is from RNAcentral.
AGGAGUGUUAGUCCAAAAUAAGACCUUUGAUUUCGGCUCAGAAAAUCGUGGUUAAAGCCCACGACCUCCUU